RNAcentral lists this ribosomal RNA (303 nucleotides) under uncultured Actinomycetes bacterium. Its description in RNAcentral is "bacterial SSU rRNA". It matches the Rfam family "Bacterial small subunit ribosomal RNA", at positions 1093 to 1397 of the family's 1533-position model. Lineage: Bacteria; Bacillati; Actinomycetota; Actinomycetes. The record is from RNAcentral.
CGAGCGCAACCCUUAUCCUAUGUUGCCAGCAUUUAGUUGGGGACUCAUAGGAGACUGCCGGGGUCAACUCGGAGGAAGGUGGGGAUGACGUCAAGUCAUCAUGCCCCUUAUGCCCAGGGCUGCAAACACGCUACAAUGGCCGGUACAGAGGGCUGCGAUCUCGCGAGAGUGAGCGAAUCCCACAAAGCCGGUCUCAGUUCGGAUUGGAGUCUGCAACUCGACUCCAUGAAGCCGGAGUUGCUAGUAAUCCCGGAUCAGCACGCCGGGGUGAAUACGUUCCCGGGCCUUGUACACACCGCCCGU